GCGGCCUAUCAGCUUGUUGGUGAGGUAAUGGCUCACCAAGGCGACGACGGGUAGCCGGCCUGAGAGGGUGAACGGCCACACUGGGACUGAGACACGGCCCAGACUCCUACGGGAGGCAGCAGUGGGGAAUAUUGCGCAAUGGACGAAAGUCUGACGCAGCGACGCCUCGUGAGGGACGAAGGUCUUCGGAUUGUAAACCUCUUUCAGCAGGGACGAAGCGAAAGUGACGGUACCUGCAGAAGAAGCACCGGCUAACUAUGUGCCAGCAGCCGCGGUAAUACAUAGGGUGCAAGCGUUGUCCGGAUUUAUUGGGCGUAAAGAGUUCGUAGGCGGUUUUUCGCGUCGGAUGUGAAAACUCAGGGCUCAACCCUGAGCCUGCAUUCGAUACGGGAAGACUCGAGGACGGCAGGGGAGACUGGAAUUCCU
This 426-nucleotide ribosomal RNA is filed under the name uncultured Actinomycetes bacterium. Its description in RNAcentral is "bacterial SSU rRNA". It matches the Rfam family "Bacterial small subunit ribosomal RNA", at positions 233 to 671 of the family's 1533-position model. Lineage: Bacteria; Bacillati; Actinomycetota; Actinomycetes. The record is from RNAcentral.